Molecule: small nucleolar RNA, 139 nt
Filed under: Erinaceus europaeus (western European hedgehog)
Lineage: Eukaryota; Metazoa; Chordata; Mammalia; Eulipotyphla; Erinaceidae
Description: Small nucleolar RNA SNORA74 (ENSEEUG00000022328.1)
Source: RNAcentral
CCCAGCGGUAGGCAGCUGUCUAGGUUGCCUUGUACCUAGGCAAGUGUUAAACUGCUGGGAGAAUAGCAGCCUGUGGCUGGUUGGCAUUCUGGGCCUGGUUCAUGUCAACACUGCGGUGGAUUACCAGGAUGCCAGCAUA